This 1167-nucleotide long non-coding RNA is filed under the name Eucalyptus grandis. Its description in RNAcentral is "long non-coding RNA (EGRA_LNC001175)". Lineage: Eukaryota; Viridiplantae; Streptophyta; Magnoliopsida; Myrtales; Myrtaceae. The record is from RNAcentral.
CCUGCACUUGGAAGAAGUAGAAGGUGACGGAUGUACGCUCGCCUCGCCAAUGCUGCUUUUACCAAGGGAUGCACUCCUGCUGGAGAAGGUCAUAAACGUCAAGAGCAGUGGAAGACACCAAUCGAAAUCUCUCGUGGCAUGACUGGUUCUACCCUAGAUGCAAUCUUUCUGGUAAAGUCUCACCACAAGCUGCUCAAUAGGGAGAUUGUUGGUGCUAGAACGGAUUUUCCAUGAGAAGCCAUCCGAAAAGUGAAGGUUCGGAUUAGAGUUUCUCUUUUUGAUUGGGAAGCAACUUGGGAACGAAUCCUCGCUUCAGAUAACCUAAAACAAAGAGGCCAAAACGCUGGUCAUCAGGCGUUUCCUCUGGAAGGAGGCAGAAUCCCUGCAGCAUCUCCUUCACCGUUCAUGGACAUUGCAUGUUUUUAUUGAGCGCAAAAACUCUCCAUAAACACACAGUUGUAUGACCAAAAAGCAAAAAAGAACUCACAGUUGCAGUUCCUUUUAUGAGUAAGUUUAUCGUGACAAGACAGUGCCUCUACAGCCUAAAGUCAAGAUCUAAGAAAUUCAAGAGAAAUUUUGGAUCCAAAGGGAUACUAACACAUUCCCAAAACAGAACAAUAGUAUGGAUACAAAGACUAGCAUACAAAACUCGUCCGUGGUAAAAUCCAAGUAUUUAGGCAAGUAGAUCACGGACACCUGAUACAGAUCUAUAUUGCAUGUGACUUAGUAAACCAUUUUCAUUUUACUAGGACUGAACAUCUUUAACAUUACUCUGCCAAAAAAUGGUCAUUAGCUUAAAAGAUGGCGCUCUAAUUGGAAAAAUAGUUGGUAAAAAAAAUAUAAAUUAACGAAUUCCCACAUCUAAGUACGUUAACAAAUUGUGCGAACAGAAGCUCUCAUAACCAAGGUUAAGCAUCACAGGGGAGAUCAAUGUUGGCUCAAUUCAGUAUGAUCUGAGCAUCUGCCAGUUAUUUUAUCUGUUUAACAUCAGGAUGCUCUGAAAGAUAAGGUGUGUCUCAAGAUGUGCAAAGCAUAACUUACCAUGACUGUUCUGUGUGAUACUUAAACUCAAUCAUUUAUCAGAGAGAAAGGCCAAAUGCAAAGGUAAUAACGUGCACCUGUAGAUGAUUGAGGACAACCAGCUGAAGUUCUUUUCCAGCACCACAA